Pogoniulus pusillus (Red-fronted tinkerbird) is the source of this 1083-nucleotide long non-coding RNA. RefSeq lists it as uncharacterized. The record is from RefSeq and is a predicted model, not a curated record. The transcript is spliced from 3 exons. Lineage: Eukaryota; Metazoa; Chordata; Aves; Piciformes; Lybiidae.
GGAGCUGCUGCUGGGAGCUGCUGUGGCACAGAUGGACCUGCUUCAGCGUGCUCUGGGCCUGUAUUCAGAUGUCACGGGGGAAUCUGCUUCCUUAUGGAUGGGGACUCCACCACUGCUCCUGAGCAGCGUGAUCCAGGGCUUGAAAACCCUCUUGGAGAAGAAAUUGUUGCUCGCAUCCAACUUCAACCUCCGUCACUGGUAAGAGUGCAAAUCUCUGCAGGUUUUAUGGUGUUGACUGUCCUGUGUAUGCACACAAGCUGAGAAGGUCAGUGCUACCAAGGUCAUAUGGGAAACUAUGCAAAGGCAUCACCAAAACUCAUCACUAAUGUGACAAGAGGAAACUAUUUUCUCACCAUGGCAGCUAUCAUACUGGGAGUCCAUCCAGCUGGACCAGCAGGAGUUCACAAGCAGAACAUUAAACACUAUAACGAAGAGUUAUAGAGAUGUUUUAGUUUGCUUAAUAAUUGUGUUCCCUGAAUGGAGAUGUGGUCACUAUAUAUGUGUCCCUGGAGACUUUCAAAACCUGUUUGUAUCCAUUCCUGUGCAACAUGAUCUAGAGGUACCUGCAUUAGCAGGAGGGCUGGACUAUAUGAUCUCCAGCGGUCCCUUCCAAUUCUAUGACUCUAAGAGAAGCUAUUAUACAUUGACCUGCAUGUGAUAACAGAUGCCACAAUGCAUUUGGGAUCAUCUUCAUGGUUCCACAUCAUUCAACCUCCCCAUGAAGACAGAGACAACAGAAAGUGCAGUAGAUGCAAUGUUAAGAGCACAGAACUGGACACUCUGGAUGCUUUCAGAUUUUCUUGUUACUGAAUCAUUUUCAUGGGAAGUGAGGAACCAGUCCACUUGUGUUCUGUGCAACAUUUCUCAUGUAAUGUCAACCUUCAGAGACCUUGCAGCCCAACAAUCUUAAUAAAAUACAGUGAUGGUUAAUGGCUCUGGAAGUUGACACAGCAAUGGGCUGGACAAAGUGUUGUAGAAUAUGAUAUUUCUUCAACCUUUCAAAUGCUUUUACUGAGCAAUGUGAAUUUGGGACUAAUUCCCACCUGUGGAAACAAAACACCGUAAUGAUAGCUUAGUUUUAUU